UCCUGUAGUGUUAUUACCAC
Molecule: unclassified non-coding RNA, 20 nt
Filed under: Dictyostelium discoideum
Lineage: Eukaryota; Evosea; Eumycetozoa; Dictyosteliales; Dictyosteliaceae
Source: RNAcentral